RNAcentral lists this ribosomal RNA (264 nucleotides) under uncultured Ascomycota. Its description in RNAcentral is "partial 18S ribosomal RNA". It matches the Rfam family "Eukaryotic small subunit ribosomal RNA", at positions 619 to 888 of the family's 1831-position model. Lineage: Eukaryota; Fungi; Ascomycota. The record is from RNAcentral.
UUAAAAAGCUCGUAGUUGAACCUUGGGCCUGGCUGGCCGGUCCGCCUCACCGCGUGUACUGGCCCGGCCGGGCCUUUCCCUCUGUGGAACCCCAUGCCCUUCACUGGGUGUGGCGGGGAAACAGGACUUUUACUUUGAAAAAAUUAGAGUGCUCCAGGCUGGCCUAUGCUCGAAUACAUUAGCAUGGAAUAAUAGAAUAGGACGUGUGGUUCUAUUUUGUUGGUUUCUAGGACCGCCGUAAUGAUUAAUAGGGACAGUCGGGGG